Molecule: ribosomal RNA, 305 nt
Filed under: uncultured bacterium
Lineage: Bacteria
Description: bacterial SSU rRNA
Rfam family: Bacterial small subunit ribosomal RNA
Source: RNAcentral
UUUGCCUACGGGGCGCAGCAGUGGGGAAUAUUGCACAAUGGGGGAAACCCUGAUGCAGCGACGCCGCGUGAGUGAAGAAGUGUCUCGGUACGUAAAGCUCUAUCAGCAGGGAAGAAAAAAAGUCUUUGGCUUUGGACGGUACCUGACUAAGAAGCCCCGGCUAACUACGUGCCAGCAGCCGCGGUAAUACGUAGGGGGCAAUCGUUAUCCGGAUUUACUGGGUGUAAAGGGAGCGUAGACGGCAUCGCAAGUCUGGCGUGACAUGCCGGGGCUCAACCCCGGAACUGCUUUGGAAACUGUGCGGC